AGAGGUCCCGAGCGUUGUUCGGAUUUAUUGGGCGUAAAGGGUGCGUAGGCGGCGGAGUAAGUUGGGUGUGAAAUCCCGGGGCUUAACCUCGGAAUUGCAUUCAAUACUGCUUCGCUCGAGUACUGGAGAGGAGGCUGGAAUUUACGGUGUAGCAGUGAAAUGCGUAGAUAUCGUAAGGAAGGCCGGUGGCGAAAGCGAGCCUCUGGACAGUUACUGACGCUGAUGCACGAAGGCCAGGGGAGCAAACGGGAUUAGAUACCCCGGUAGUCCUGGCAGUAAACGGUGCGCGUUUGGUGUGGGGGGAUUCGACAAUCUCCGCGCCGGAGCUAACGCGUUAAACGCGCCGCCUGGGAAAUACGGUCGCAAGAUUA
Molecule: ribosomal RNA, 371 nt
Filed under: uncultured bacterium
Lineage: Bacteria
Description: bacterial SSU rRNA
Rfam family: Bacterial small subunit ribosomal RNA
Source: RNAcentral